RNAcentral lists this ribosomal RNA (567 nucleotides) under Phyllopsora breviuscula. Its description in RNAcentral is "LSU rRNA". It matches the Rfam family "Eukaryotic large subunit ribosomal RNA", at positions 45 to 605 of the family's 3401-position model. Lineage: Eukaryota; Fungi; Ascomycota; Lecanoromycetes; Lecanorales; Ramalinaceae. The record is from RNAcentral.
AAUAAGCGGAGGACAAGAAACCAACCGGGAUUGCCUCAGUAACGGCGAGUGAAGCGGCACAAGCUCAAAUUUGAAAUCUAGCCCUCGAGGACCUCGGGGCUCGAGUUGUAAUUUGGAGAGGAUGCUUCGGGUGCGGCGGCAGUCUAAGUCCCUUGGAACAGGGCGUCCUAGAGGGUGAGAAUCCCGUAUGCGACCGGCGACCAACCCCGUGUGAAGCUCCUUCGACGAGUCGAGUUGUUUGGGAAUGCAGCUCUAAAUGGGUGGUAAAUUUCAUCUAAAGCUAAAUACCGGCCAGAGACCGAUAGCGCACAAGUAGAGUGAUCGAAAGAUGAAAAGCACUUUGGAAAGAGAGUCAAACAGUACGUGAAAUUGUUGAAAGGGAAGCGCUCGCGACCAGACCUGCCCGCGGGCGAUCAGCGGCGGAGUUCCCCGCCGUGCACUCGCCCGCGAUCAGGCCAGCAUCGGUUCCGGCGGCCGGAUAAAGAUCUCGGAAAUGUAGCUCCCUCCGGGGAGUGUUAUAGUCCGGGGUGCAAUACGGCCAGCUUGGAACCGAGGACCGCGCUUCGG